This 5759-nucleotide long non-coding RNA is filed under the name Heterocephalus glaber (naked mole-rat). RNAcentral's name for it is "lncRNA (ENSHGLG00100047203.1)". The record is from RNAcentral. Lineage: Eukaryota; Metazoa; Chordata; Mammalia; Rodentia; Bathyergidae.
GCAAGUGAGCGUCCCGGGGAGGGGCCAGGCAGGGCGCUGCAGGGCAGGGGGCUUCCUCCUUCCUGUCGCUGACUGCAGCUCACCCUUGGCACAAGCCUGCCCGGCGGCUCCCGGCAAUCAUAUUUUAUCAAAUACUGGGGUGAGAACCACUAGGUAAUUUGCUAACUAACCAAUCCCAGGCGUCACCUGUGACAAGAACAUGAAAUGCUGGAGCUGAGAGAGCAACGAAAGGAACAAGACAAAGCAGAAACCCAAGCAGGCUUAGAGGACCCCGGGUAAGCUUGGCACGGUGGACGGCAGCUCCUGCCCUCUUCCCUGCUGAAACCCAGCCCAAGGGCUCGUGUCGUGAAGCAGGAACAGCAGGAAGUGCCCAGCUGAGGUGAAUACCACAGUGUGCAGAAUCUCUUGUUCACCUGAGACAGGAGAUGGGCAGGCCUCUGGAGACUCGGUGACUGAGGACCUCACCUGGUUCAUUACCAAGUUCCUUAGUGAUGCUAAGAGCCUCAAAAUCCAGUACGCAGGGCUAGGCGUAGCAGUGGCCUAGCACGCAGGAGGCCCAGGGUGUGAUCUCUAGCACAGCUCAGUAUGUUAAUUAAUUAAAAAUUUAAAACUCCAGUGCACAUGCCAGAAGUCAGGCCUGUGACCUUGGGAAGAGGCAGGUGCCAAGGGCCCGCGUGGGGAUGGACAUGCCAGCGUGGGCACUGAGCAGCCAGGCAGCACAGGGUGGGAGGCCCCGCGGCCCCAGGUGGCCUGGGCACCAGUACUGCCCACUGCCUGGCUGUGCCUCAGGGCGGAGAGGGGCUCACUCAACUGCGUCGCAGAAGGCGGUUGUUGGGGGUGGGCAGGAGGCAGGAUCUGCCUUAUGGUAGGUCAGUUACACCAGGGCUCCCGAGCCUGGGGCUGCACCCUGCACCAGUCCUCGGCCUGUGGGAACGGGCCGUGCAGCAGGUGGACAGAGUGGACAAGCAAAGCUCCAUCUCUGUGGACACCAUCAACACUGCUCCCCACAUGGAGAUGGAGCACCCUGCAUUCCAGCCAAGCCGCUGGACUCUGUCAGAGGAAAAAGGGACCACGAAGGACAGAACCAGUGACUGCAGGCCAUUGCUUCAGCUGGUGUGUGGGCCUCCCCUCUCAGUGGCUCACAGCACCGCCAAAGCUGAGGAGCCCUUCCACAGGUGAAGGUGCCCCAGUUGCUGCUGAGGACCUUGUCAUGAACUUGUAGGGCAGGUGCGGUACAACCAGCGGCCCGUGCUCCUCUGUCGGCUAGCACCAUGACUAGAUGGUGCACCAAGGUACACAGACAGAAGGAUGCGCUCUCACGGAAGCUGGCAACAAGGCAUCAACGCUUGCUCUGUAUGAUUUAUUUUUCAGGAGGAUGUGCAUGAGGGUAUGCUAUGUGGACCUUUGUUACCAACUAAGACCACCCGAACUGCACUUCACAAACACUGACUUGGUCAGGUGCACAGACCGAGCAAAGAGUGGACGAUUUCUGGUUUGACUACUCGGGUCAAAGGCUGCUUCUGAAUGUCAUCCAUGGAGAAGUGCUGGCUAGCUGAAAAAUGUCACCUGAACUUAACAGUGUUCUGCAGGAUGUGACUAUCAAGCACAGUCCAGUGCAUGCCCUUAGCUCGGGUCAUUCACACAGCCGUGAGAGAAGAUGGACACAGAGCACAUACGUGUUCUCUUACACACAGUGGUGAGAGGGCUGCGGAUCUGAGAGCUGCUCCAGAGAUGACUUUUUUUUUGGUACCGGGAUUGAACUCGGGACCUUGUGCUUGCGAGGCAGGCGCCGGAACCGCUGAGCUAAAUCCUCGGCCCUCCAGAGACGACUUUUUAGAAAGAGUCACCACCGCAGCACAUUUCGGUGAUGCAGAAUGGGUCACAAAUCUUGCUUACCUGUGUGACAUAUUCAGCCUGCUCAGUGAACUCAACCUCUCACUUCAGGGGGAACAACUGCUGUGCCCAGUCGGCAGACAGUGGCUGCGGCGGCCAAGCUGGGAUUAUGAGCGAUGAGUGACACUGGGUCACUGAUGUGUGCCAGACAUCAGCAGGGACUUUAACAGGACCUAGGCAUUCUUUCUCCCAGCUCGGAGACCAUGGGCUAACAGCUUUCAAAAGACACCGACCGGAAGGAAGGGUCCGUGGCCCACUUACGAACAAGCUACGUGAGCUGAUUUUGUCCGUGCUAGAGGAGAACCCACUGCGUGAGACUGUAAAAGGUGACAACUUCAGAUUUCCGUAUGUUCUGCGCCAAGUCAAGCUAGCGCAUCCUGAGUGUCACAGAAGCACUGACAAGCCUGCUUCCAUGUCUGAUUCCUGUCCUUGUGAGGCACGGUUUUCUUCAGUGACAGCAACCAGAACGAGCCUACGAAGUAGACUGGAGUUAAACAACACACUCCAGGGGUCACUGUCUCCCCAGCACCCCAGAAGGGACCAUCUCCUCGCAGGAAAACAAGUCAGGGCUCCCACCGAUUCUUCAUUAUGUACUACAGUGUGCUAAUGAUGGAAAUACAGUGCACAAUAACUGGAAUGCACCUGACUCAUCCUGAAACCAUCCCCACCCCAGCCUGUAGAUAAAUGGACUUCCACGAUACUGGUCGCUGGUGCCGAAAGGUUGGGAACUGCUGGCUCAGACCAUGGAAGAGGAGCUGUGACUGCAGGCUGCAGGGGUGAGGAGGCCAGGGGUACAGGGGAAGUGGACCCAAGUCACACAUUUGCCUGACUGUCAGGGCGUCCAGAUGAGUGGCACGGUGCGUGAAAGGCAGUGUGAGGACCCGUGGCAUUCCAGAAGCAGGCAGAGAGCCACGAGGGUGACAGGGCGUUCCCAGACACUCCUGGGUCCCCUCCGGCCCGUGCCUGCUUGGCCGAGGCCCUGUGAGAGUUCUGGGUCUCCAGCUCUCCUGUGCCCUGGGUGCUGGGCCAGCCGUGAGCGCUGCACGUGCUCUCCGCAGGAGGAGUGAGAGCGGAGACUUGGGCAGCUGCAGCCCCAGGCGCUGCGUGGCUGUCCUCGAGAGAAUCUGGGAGUGCAGUCCGGCUCCGUCCUGGCUCUGACCCGCCGUGCAGCCCCCAGCACCCCCAGCGUGCCAUCACUCACACCUGCCUGUGUCCCAGCCCCACCCACCACAGCUGAUCCCUGCAGCUCCCUGCCCGCAGUGGUGCUGGCCGCCUGAGGGCACGGAGAGCGCCCACACCCUGGCAGAGCUGAGCUUGAGGACCGAGGGUGAGGCCCGAGCUGCAGGGGCGCCCUCACGGGUCUCUUGAGGGUGGGCGCAGUCACACAUUCCCGACUGAAGCUGGGAGCCUUUCCCAGUCCCAAGCUCUGCAGACUGCUUUCCCAGAAGCGAUCAGGAUCGAGCCACCCAGCCACCUCCCCGCUGUGUUUUCUACAAACUGGUGCUGCCUGGCCCCACAGCCUUUCUUGGUGACGCGGUCCCAAGGUUUGGGUGAAGGAACCGUGGAAGAACUGGUGACAGUGAAGGCCUCCUGUGCACCCUGCACACGCAUUCCACAUGGCCCUCGUGGGAACAGCUGCUCCUGCUGUGCAGUGCACCGGUCAGCCGAUGUGUCCACGGUGACAGGCGUUAGUUAGCACCCUUGGGCCACGGAUUAUGGGAGGGCUCACCUGGAGUGUUUUCCCUGGGUCUGGGCAGGCACACCCACCAUACGUAUUACUUUCAAAAACUGUGGUCAAGUACACAUAGGUUCAUCACGUGACCAUUCCUAGGGGAGUUCAGCGGCGCUGUGCACACUGCUGUGUAGCUGUCACGUCACCCAGCUCGGGCCUCCUAGAAGUGGGUCUGGGCAGUAUCUGUCCCCUUGUGACCAGCUUCUCUCUUGGCACGAUGUGCUCCAGGUCCAUCCAUGCCAUCACAGGUAUCGGAAUGUGCCUCCUUUUCAAGGCUGAGUGAGGUUCUCUGCCGUGAAUGACUCAUUUGGCUUACUGGUCACCCACUGAGGACACUUGGGCACCUUCCACCACCCGGCUGUUGAGAGGAAUGCUCUGAGCUCCUUUGAGACCCAUUUGCAAUUCUUUCAGGUACUCACAAUUUGCCUCGCAUUUGCAGGGUCCACAUUCACAUAUUUACGCAAAUACAAACUGGAAACAUUUGUUUAAAAAAUAUAUACAUACCUGUGCUGAACCUGCACAGAACCGGUUCUUUGUGGUUACUCCCUAAACGAUACAGUGUAGCAGCUAUUGACACAGCACUUCCAUUGCAUGAGGUGUUCACAGUAUCCAGAGGAUGUGUGUGGGUUCUAUGCAAAUACUAUGUCAUUUUAUACCCGGUAAGUGAACUGAGUCUGAGGCAGUGGUGUGUCUGCUCAGCUGUCAGGAGCAGCACAGGCUGGGACUUCACUGCAAGUGCAUGCCAGGUGCGGGCCAGACCCUCUCCAGGUGAGGGCCACCUCCCCACUUCAGAGGGAGCCCAGGUGCCUCCCCUUCUGAUGAAAACACCCGUUCACAGUUGUCACAGACGUGGACGCUCAGGUGGCCUCAAGUGCUGGUGGGGCUGCUCAGGCUGCCUCUGCACCCUUCUCUGUGCCCAGGGCUGGUGAGUGCGCCCCUUCCCCAUGAGGCAGGGACCUCUCUACCCUGCACCACACCCCCAUACCUCAAAGGACCCUGUCCUGUUCAGUGAUCAAGGUUUGCAGGGGCAUAAGUGCAUCGCUAGCAAGCCCUGCACCUCCCCUUCCCGUGCACCCCUAGAAUACCAGAAUGCCAGCGACAGAGGAACACUGGGUUUGAAAAGGAAUUAGUGAGUGAUCAUCCUGGUACAAGUCGACCUGUGUGAGCUCAUAUCCAAGGUGCUUCAGGGGGUGCCGACGAGAGGGUGGGGUGGACUCGAGGAAGAGGGUAUUCUUGCAGCCUUGCAGGGUUUCCCCAGAUCACUGCUCAUGGGGGGCAGCAGCCAUUCUGUGUGGGUGUGGGCAGUGGGAGGAGACAACAGCUUUGUCAUGUGACCAAAAGGAACACCACCAAGAAGGGGCAGCCAGGCCAAGGGCUCCGGGUCUGACGUCCAAGAAAGAUGGUGGGACACAGUGCUCCAUCCCAACACACGCAGCUCGAGUCCCCCGACGGUACUGGACCACCCAGCAGAGGGCCGCUCUGCCAGCAAGCAGCUGGCAUCAUUCAAAAGCAGCAAUGUCAUCGAGACGGGAAGCCGAGGAAACACGGCAGGCGGAGACCAGAGAGACAACGAUGAAACACCGUUUGUGAGGCCCCCGACUCAGUCCUGGGCCAGUAGAGGCUGUCAGAGUGAGAACGUGAACUGCAGACCAGACGAAACACAGUGCUUCCAUCUCUGAACUGCUGUGGUUGCACAGGAGAAUAUUCCCAUUGCUAGGGAACGAACAUCAGUGGUAGUGAGUAAAGGGACCUGAGGCUGGGCGUGGUAAGUCGUCCCAGCAGUCAGGAGGCUGAGGCAGGAGGAUCAGUGUAAAGGCAGCCCAGGCCGUCUCGAGAAAAAAGAGGCCAAGAGUUGUGCAGUUAAGCAGGGAAGAAGGAAGGGGAGGACGGGUGGAGGCGCAGCAAGCAGCUCGAGCAUGUAACAAAAUGUUACAAUUUGAGAAAUCUGGGGCAAGAGUAUGUGAGAGGUUAUGUGGUUUUUGUUUCUAUUUCCCCAACUUUCCUGGUUAGUUCAAACUGGGCUCGUGGGUGCAUGCCUAUAAUCCUGGACAUUCAGGAGGCUGAAGCAGGAGGAUAAUAAGUCCAAGGCCAGUCUGGGCUCCACUCUGUGUCAAAAAAAAUAAAUAAAUAAAAU